Molecule: ribosomal RNA, 207 nt
Filed under: uncultured bacterium
Lineage: Bacteria
Description: partial 16S ribosomal RNA
Rfam family: Bacterial small subunit ribosomal RNA
Source: RNAcentral
AGCGCAGGCGGUGCGGCAAGUCUGAUGUGAAAGCCCGGGGCUCAACCCCGGUACUGCAUUGGAAACUGUCGUACUAGAGUGUCGGAGGGGUAAGCGGAAUUCCUAGUGUAGCGGUGAAAUGCGUAGAUAUUAGGAGGAACACCAGUGGCGAAGGCGGCCUACUGGGCACCAACUGACGCUGAGGCUCGAAAGUGUGGGUAGCAAACA